AUGGAGCAGAGAAGAAAAAAAUGCAUUGGUUUUCUUGGUGGAAAAUGUGUGUACCGAAAGAAAAAAGGUGGCAUGGGGUUUAGAGACCUUCACGGAUUUAAUCUUUCUAUGUUAGCAAAGCAGCGUUGGCAACUACUCCAAAAUCCUGAUUCAUUGUGUGCACGAGUUUUGAGGGCAAAAUAUUAUCCCAAUAGAGAUAUUCUAAAAUCUAGCCCCAAGAAAGGUUCUUCAUUCGCUUGGCAGAGUAUGGUAGCUGGUAUUAGAACUUUCAGAAGGGGAUGCGUAUGGCAUGUGGGUUCUGGUUCACACAUUAACAUUUGGGAUGAAUCGUGGAUACCCACUAGUAUGAACAGGAAGCCUAUUACCCCUAGGGGGGUAUUAUGCUAA
Molecule: ribosomal RNA, 387 nt
Filed under: Triticum aestivum (bread wheat)
Lineage: Eukaryota; Viridiplantae; Streptophyta; Magnoliopsida; Poales; Poaceae
Description: partial small subunit ribosomal RNA
Source: RNAcentral